Molecule: non-coding RNA, 180 nt
Filed under: Anaerobacillus arseniciselenatis
Lineage: Bacteria; Bacillati; Bacillota; Bacilli; Caryophanales; Bacillaceae
Description: Bacillus arseniciselenatis 6S / SsrS RNA
Rfam family: 6S / SsrS RNA
About the family: E. coli 6S RNA was the first non coding RNA to be sequenced, but its function was unknown until recently. It consists of 184 nucleotides that fold into an extended hairpin structure with a large single-stranded internal bulge.
Source: Rfam by way of RNAcentral
AGAGUCCUGAGAUGUACGUAGGAUGCUAUACGUUUUGAGCCAACAUUUUUAGAAUGGGAGCCUGAAGUUUUGACUUGGCGUGCAAGCCUUCUUGAAAGGAAGUAUUAAAAGUUGAACAGGGCACCCACCUGCGGAGAGCAGGUUCAAAACUAAGCAAUUUAACGGCAUAUUGGGGCUCUA